This 818-nucleotide non-coding RNA is filed under the name Kamimuria chungnanshana. The record is from RNAcentral. Lineage: Eukaryota; Metazoa; Arthropoda; Insecta; Plecoptera; Perlidae.
UAAAAGUUUUAUUCUUGCUUGUAUGAUUAGCAUUAAUUUUGUUUUACAUGUAAGUUUUAGUAUAAAUGUUGAGUUUGUAUCUUGAAGAUUAAUUUAAAUUAAGGGGCAGUAUUCAGUUUUAUAAAUUAAGGUGACUUAGAUUUAGAAAAUUUAUUGGCGUCGGCAAAAAUCGUGCCAGCCGCCGCGGUUACACGGAGGACGCGAGUUAAUAAUUGUUAGUUUGUUAGUUAGAUUAGUAUUGAUGAUUUCUUUGAAAAUAUUGAAGUAAAUUUUUAGGUGGAAUUUUAAUUUAGAGUGUUAUUUUCCUUUGUUGUUGAGGUGUUGAGACUAGGAAAUUUAAAUUUUAGACUAGGAUUAGAUACCCUAUUAUUUUAAAUGUAAAAUUUUAAAACUGGAGUAGUAAUAGUUAUGUUCUUGAAACUCAAAGAAUUUGGCGGUGCUUUAGUCCUUUUAGAGGAACUUGCCCCGUAAUCGAUAUUCCACGAUAAAUCUUACUUAGUUUUGUUAAAUCAGCUUGUAUAUCGCCGUCGUCAGAAUAUCUUAUAAGAGAAAGAAUUUUCUUUAAUUUUCAAGUGAAUUAGAUGUCAGGUCAAGGUGCAGCUAAUGAUUAAGUGGAGGUGAGUUACAUUAAGUAUAUUUAUACGGAUGGCAGUCUGAAAGAUUAUGAUUGUUUAAAGGUGGAUUUGAUAGUAAUAGUUGAGAAAAAGAAGCUUUGGCUCUUGGCUCUAGAGCAUGCACAUAUCGCCCGUCGCUCUCGUUAUUUAAGGCGAGAUAAGUCGUAACAUAGUAGACGUACCGGAAGGUGUGUCUGGAAAGUU